Molecule: long non-coding RNA, 2332 nt
Organism: Notothenia coriiceps (black rockcod)
Lineage: Eukaryota; Metazoa; Chordata; Actinopteri; Perciformes; Nototheniidae
Exons: 3
Source: RefSeq, a predicted model, not a curated record
AAAGUUUGAGAACCACUGACUUAGACUCUCGAUAAAACCCAUACUAAUGCUACAGUAGGAGCACCACAAUAUGCCUACCUUUCAUUUGCACUUCAGCUGGUUAGAUUUAGGUUUUGAAAUGGUUCUUUGUGUUUAUAGGGAGUGCACCUAUGGGACCUGCAGGACCGGGUGCUGGUGAGGAAGUACCAAGGUGUGACCCAGGGCUUCUACACCAUCCACUCCGGCUUCGGAGGGCACAAUGAAGACUUCAUCGCUAGUGGCAGCGAAGAUCACAAAGUUUACAUCUGGCACCGGCGCAGCGAGCUGCCCAUCGCUGAGCUGACGGGGCACACCCGCACCGUCAACUGUGUGAGCUGGAACCCUGUCCUGCCCGGGCUGCUGGCCAGCGCCUCUGACGAUGGGACCGUCCGCAUCUGGGGCCCCGCCCCCUUCCUGGACGUCCAGGAGGCAGACGGCCUCAAUGAUUGUAGCAGCAUGGACAGCUGAUGGUGUGCGCUGAGCCUGAGGAGCAUUGAGACUCUGAACUCUUUGAACUGAUGAAGCAGGAAGUGCUCCCGUCGUCAGGCAGUAGCUUCCUGGAGACGGCCCGCGGUGCUGCAUGGCAGGAUGUCACCACACAGAGAUGUCAGAGCAGGCACAUCAUCCAGAGCAGAGCCGGACACAUGAAGCUCUCUCCUCCUCCUCCUCCUCCUCCCCCUCCUCCUCUGCUCCCUCUCCACCACCCAGGACCACCAACCUGCUCUUAUUUAUUAUCAACUACAUUAUUUAUUCAUGAGUAGUUUACUGACUUGUGCUAGGCUGUGACAUAGCGGCGCCUUGUGGACGGUGUGUUUUAGGUUUGUUUCCUAUCAGCUGCUCACACCAAGCAGCAGAAGCCCUUUCCCUCCUCACCUGCAGAACCUAUUUAGAGAUUUGAACCAUCCAAACAUUUGAUGGAUGCACCCACUUGAAGAGAAUCUUAAUAUCCUUGUCUUUUCUUUCAUGCAAUGUAUAUUUUACACAUUUAUUUCUGCUCAUAGCCAGAGGGAGUAGUGUUUGAUGAGCAUGUUUCAUACGUCCUGCUUCAUCUCUUCAAUCCGCUGUGUCGAUGCCUUCUGAGAGUAAGCAGCAGCUAACGUGUGGAAACCUGUAGAGUAGUUUCCCUCAUGCCAUCAGUGGAUUUGUAUCUUUAUUUUUCCCUUCAGUAUUUAAUCUUUGAUUCAUCUUUUCCUGCUUACAAAAAGCAUAUGCAUUUCACUUGGUUUGGUUUAGUUACAUGUUCUGAGUUUAAUGGUGUUUGUUUGGAUUUACUACAAAUGGAGAUAUAAUGUUUAAAGAGACACUCUAAUUUAUUGCUUUACCUUCAACAUCACGGCUCAGUGUGAAGUGUUUUAGAGAUGAGGCUGGUGUUAUAAUAUUUAAUAUUGUUAAAAAAUCUAAUGCAGAAACCAUCAAUCAAUCAAUGUGUGUGUUCAAGGUGAUGAAGAAUACGUUACCCAGUGCAACUCUGAUACAGAAGGAAUAAUACAUAUCAGGCGUUGAUACACACACAAAACUUCCUAUAAGAUACAGUUAUUUUUUGGUCUCUGCAUUAGAUUGAAUUAUGCUAAAAAUAAAGAAAAAAUUGCCAGCCUUCUCCUUUUAUUUGAACACACCCCAGUGAGCUGACACACACAGUAACACUGAUGGAUCUGUAACAAAACACGUUUGUACACAAUUGUAAAAUAUGAAGUGUAAAAGAGCAAUUUUGCCUACUAUGAUAUUCUAUGAUGUGCUGUAUAUUUAUUUGUUAUGGCAUGUAUUAUGCGGCUGCGUAGAGUGGCAGGAUGUCGGGUGUGUUCAGGGUUCCCAUGCCGUUUUCUUUUACUGUUUACUUCGCACCAAAUUUUCCUGACUGAAAUUCACAAACUGUGAAGCCAAACAUACUUUUUGGAUAUUUAAAAUGGAUCAUUUUGUGACAUCUUUUCCAAACCGCUUCAACAGAAUAUUAUUUUUUAAGGCUUUGAAGUGGAUAAGUGCAGGAGCGUCGGAACCCUGUUCAUCAUCAUCAGCGCCUCCAUCACAGAACACACACGCUAUAGGAACACAACAAUAGAUGUCUGACUCACACAAACUUGAUCUACUCACAGACGUGGUGUUCUAGUGACUUUCUUUGUUUAUCGGAGUAUUUCUGGCUUCUCGCUGUAAGAAGCCACAGUAGGAACUUAGUUUGCUUGCAGGCAGUUUCUGCCAGAAAACCAUUUUACGUUUUAAAUGUGUUACUACAAAAAAAGUGAUUGUACUGUUCUGUAUUGUAUGUAGGAGUGUUAUGUAUGCAUAUUUAAAAUAAAGAAUUCAGGGUUUUAAAAUGUAA